UCCCUGCAGAGUCCCUAACCCUUGGACCUAAAUAUUGGUCCGAGUGGAUAAAGAAAGGAGGAAAAGUAAAGCUGAAACUUGGGGUCUUUAGAGGCUACAAGUGCAUUUCAAACACGA
RNAcentral lists this small nucleolar RNA (117 nucleotides) under Echinops telfairi (small Madagascar hedgehog). RNAcentral describes it as "Small nucleolar RNA SNORA61 (ENSETEG00000026180.1)". Lineage: Eukaryota; Metazoa; Chordata; Mammalia; Afrosoricida; Tenrecidae. The record is from RNAcentral.